Molecule: long non-coding RNA, 396 nt
Organism: Dreissena polymorpha
Lineage: Eukaryota; Metazoa; Mollusca; Bivalvia; Myida; Dreissenidae
Exons: 2
Source: RefSeq, a predicted model, not a curated record
AAUAUAAUUUUCGAUGUUUGAAAUUUAUUGAAUGAGUCGAAAAUUACUUUCCCUUCAGUAUGAAUUUGCCGCUAGAGGCGCUCUAGAAGCACGAGGUUUUCGUGCAUGGUUAAAACGUGGUCAGUUUUCGUCAUUCAGCUUUGGGAACUCGCACGGUAUACAUGUUAUUUUUUUAAAUAAUGUGUUAAUAUUUCAUAUUAUGGAAAUUAUAUAUGAAAUUGAAUAAUUGAUAUAUGUAUUGAACUAAAUUAACAUAGAAUGUCACUGUAUGAUGACUGUUAGAAAGAUUGUAUUAUGUGAUGUAUGUUUGACGUUUUGAUGAUAGUUAUUAUGUUAAGUAUAAUAAUAAAUGGACAGCCGGUAUGCGAGUCCCUGCGGCUAGUACCAAAAAACAGA